AAACCAACAGGGAUUGCCUUAGUAACGGCGAGUGAAGCGGCAACAGCUCAAAUUUGAAAUCUGGCCCUCGGGUCCGAAUUGUAAUUUGUAGAGGAUGAUUUUGGUGCGGUAUCUUCCGAGUUCCUUGGAACAGGACGCCUUAGAGGGUGAGAGCCCCGUACGGUUGAAUGCCUAGCCUCUGUAAAUCUCCUUCGACGAGUCGAGUAGUUUGGGAAUGCAGCUCAAAAUGGGUGGUAAAUUUCAUCUAAAGCUAAAUAUUGGCCAGAGACCGAUAGCGCACAAGUAGAGUGAUCGAAAGAUGAAAAGCACUUUGGAAAGAGAGUUAAACAGUACGUGAAAUUGUUGAAAGGGAAGCGCUUGCAACCAGACUUGCAUGUAGCUGAUCAACCGGUGUUCUCACCGGUGCACUCAGUUGCGUUCAGGCCAGCAUCGGUUUCGACGGUUGGAUAAAGGCCUUGGGAAUGUAGCUCCUUUCGGGGAGUGUUAUAGCCCAGGGUGCGAUGCAGCCUGUUGGGACCGAGGACCGCGCUUCGGCUAGGAUGCUGGCGUAAUGGUUGUAAGCGAC
This 565-nucleotide ribosomal RNA is filed under the name uncultured fungus. RNAcentral's name for it is "eukaryotic LSU rRNA". It matches the Rfam family "Eukaryotic large subunit ribosomal RNA", at positions 62 to 648 of the family's 3401-position model. Lineage: Eukaryota; Fungi. The record is from RNAcentral.